RNAcentral lists this transfer RNA (85 nucleotides) under Candidatus Nomurabacteria bacterium RIFCSPHIGHO2_01_FULL_39_9. Its description in RNAcentral is "tRNA-Leu". It matches the Rfam family "tRNA". From Rfam's summary of the family: Transfer RNA (tRNA) molecules are approximately 80 nucleotides in length. Their secondary structure includes four short double-helical elements and three loops (D, anti-codon, and T loops). The record is from RNAcentral. Lineage: Bacteria; Candidatus Nomuraibacteriota.
GGGCGAGUGGCGGAAUUGGUAUACGCGCAUGGCUUAGGACCAUGUGGGGAAACCCGUGGAGGUUCAAGUCCUCUCUCGCCCACCA